GACAGAGGGUGCAAACGUUGUUCGGAAUUACUGGGCGUAAAGCGCGUGUAGGCGGCUUUGCAAGUCGGAUGUGAAAUCCCGCGGCUCAACCGUGGAAGUGCACCCGAAACUGCAUCGCUAGAGUAUCGGAGAGGAAAGUGGAAUGCUUGGUGUAGAGGUGAAAUUCGUAGAUAUCAAGCGGAACACCGGUGGCGAAGGCGGCUUUCUGGACGAUUACUGACGCUGAGACGCGAAAGCGUGGGUAGCAAACAGC
This 253-nucleotide ribosomal RNA is filed under the name uncultured bacterium. RNAcentral's name for it is "partial 16S ribosomal RNA". It matches the Rfam family "Bacterial small subunit ribosomal RNA", at positions 524 to 776 of the family's 1533-position model. The record is from RNAcentral.